UACUUAGGGGGCAAGCGUUGUCCGGAUUUAUUGGGCGUAAAGAGCGUGUAGGCGGUUAGGUAGGUCCGUUGUGAAAACUCGAGGCUCAACCUCGAGACGCCGAUGGAAACCCCCUAACUAGAGUCCGGAAGAGGAGAGUGGAAUUCCUGGUGUAGCGGUGAAAUGCGCAGAUAUCAGGAAGAACACCCGUGGCUAAGGCGGCUCUCUAGUACGGUACUGACGCUGAGACGCGAAAGCGUGGGGAGCGAACAGG
This 253-nucleotide ribosomal RNA is filed under the name uncultured bacterium. RNAcentral's name for it is "partial 16S ribosomal RNA". It matches the Rfam family "Bacterial small subunit ribosomal RNA", at positions 524 to 776 of the family's 1533-position model. The record is from RNAcentral.